CCCUGGAAAGGGGCGCCAGAG
This 21-nucleotide small nuclear RNA is filed under the name Arabidopsis thaliana (thale cress). Its description in RNAcentral is "snRNA_10369". Lineage: Eukaryota; Viridiplantae; Streptophyta; Magnoliopsida; Brassicales; Brassicaceae. The record is from RNAcentral.